This is a long non-coding RNA of Cyprinus carpio (common carp), 1313 nucleotides long. The record is from Ensembl. Lineage: Eukaryota; Metazoa; Chordata; Actinopteri; Cypriniformes; Cyprinidae.
AUGGACUGUUGUCUUCUUGGGGACGGCUUGCCAAAUACGACAGGAGACGCUACAAGGUGCAUUGGGCUUAGCAGAGAUGACAGAGAGGCUGAGGCAGAGUGUAACGGGAGCUUCACCGCAGCAGCCCUGCUCUGGGCUUCCAACCGACAGAGGAGCACCGUGAGAAAGAGAGACGGAGAGAGAGAGAAAGAGAAAGAGGAGAAAAGUAGACCUCUGAGCUGCGACUCUUGUUCUGUAAAGCACACAUCAUUAAAUGAUAUAAUGUUGUUGUCAGUUUGUCAUGCAAUAGUGUCAACGAAAAAACUUUACAAGACUAGUGCCAAAAAUUAAGAGAUUGAGAGGGAGAGACAAACACGUCCUUGCCAAUCAUUCAUCAUUGUCUCACUUCCUCUCUCCUCUCUUGACAGACUUGGUCUUUUUGUGCACGCUACCCAGAAUUCCUUGUGACAUUUGUUGUGUGAAGAUUACUCACUGGCCCGUAGCCUAGUGUAGCACAACAGCGAUGGUUUUAAAGACACAGAGUUGGCGCUGUCCCAGCCUCGACACCUCACCCACAAACUGCGCCUCCUGUCAACCCCCACAGGCACCUAUUGUGGCGAAUCAGUGACCGUACCAUUCCUUCUUUCUGCUCUUCACCAACAAAUGAUAAACUAAGUGGAAAAAAAAACAGAAUGGCAUGAAGAAGAAAAGAAGAUCCAGAGCAUGUUGCCUUUCAGCUGAAGUCGUUGAGGACAAUGCAAGUGCUGGACCAUCAUUUUCAAAUGCACUGAAAAGCAGAGUACUGACAAGUUUCAUCAAACAAACAUUUCAUUAUUAUAUUUCUUACAACACAAUGCUUCAAUGAAAAUGAAUGCAAUGUUUAAAUAGAAAAGCAACAUAAUAAUAACUAUUCAAUGCUGCCUUUACAUGCUUUUUGAUUAAGUAUGUCAUGUUAAAGUGUUUUGAUCAGUCCUGCUGAUAGUUGCCACAUGUAUCAUUUGGUUCCAAAAAGCACCUGUCUCUAUCAGCAGAUGAAAAAUAUCGGUGAAUUCUGACUGAAUCUGACUUUUAAUUAUAUUGAUUAUAAUUGUUUUAAAUGUAUUAAAAUACUGUAUAUAUUGCUAAUGUAGUAUAAUACUGUAGAUAUUUUACCAGCAUUUUUCCUUAACAUUAAAUAUAUUUUCUAUUUUUAAUGUAUGAUAAAAUAUUGUUUAUCCUUGACAAAGGCCAACAGUUAUAAAACAGAGCAAAUAUAAUGUAAAAAUACAUGAAUGAUUUGAAUCUGUUAGUCUACUUUAGACAAAUAAAUAAAUAAAUAAUAAAAAUAACCUGCA